RNAcentral lists this ribosomal RNA (464 nucleotides) under uncultured bacterium. RNAcentral describes it as "partial 16S ribosomal RNA". It matches the Rfam family "Bacterial small subunit ribosomal RNA", at positions 339 to 795 of the family's 1533-position model. The record is from RNAcentral.
CUACGGGGGGCAGCAGUGGGGAAUAUUGCACAAUGGGCGCAAGCCUGAUGCAGCCAUGCCGCGUGUAUGAAGAAGGCCUUCGGGUUGUAAAGUACUUUCAGCGGGGAGGAAGGGAGUAAAGUUAAUACCUUUGCUCAUUGACGUUACCCGCAGAAGAAGCACCGGCUAACUCCGUGCCAGCAGCCGCGGUAAUACGGAGGGUGCAAGCGUUAAUCGGAAUUACUGGGCGUACAGCGCACGCAGGCGGUGUUGUUAAGUCAGAUGUGAAAUCCCCGGGCUCAACCUGGGAACUGCAUCUGAACUGGCAAGCUUGAGUCUCGUAGAGGGGGGUAGAAUUCCAGGUGUAGCGGUGAAAUGCGUAGAGAUCUGGAGGAAUACCGGUGGCGAAGGCGGCCCCCUGGACGAAGACUGACGCUCAGGUGCGAAAGCGUGGGGAGCAAACAGGAUUAGAUACCCGCGUAGUC